This 118-nucleotide non-coding RNA is filed under the name Pseudonocardia sp. Its description in RNAcentral is "Glycine sequence". It matches the Rfam family "Glycine riboswitch aptamer". From Rfam's summary of the family: This family represents the bacterial glycine riboswitch. The record is from RNAcentral. Lineage: Bacteria; Bacillati; Actinomycetota; Actinomycetes; Pseudonocardiales; Pseudonocardiaceae.
CGAGGCACCUCUGGAAAGCGACACCGGCCCGGCCGGUGCCCGCCGACGGGGAAAGCCUGCUGCACGGCGGGUGGAUCUCUCAGGCGCUCCGACGACGGGGCGGGACAGAGGGGGAGGG